RNAcentral lists this ribosomal RNA (655 nucleotides) under Priestia megaterium. Its description in RNAcentral is "bacterial SSU rRNA". It matches the Rfam family "Bacterial small subunit ribosomal RNA", at positions 56 to 692 of the family's 1533-position model. Lineage: Bacteria; Bacillati; Bacillota; Bacilli; Caryophanales; Bacillaceae. The record is from RNAcentral.
UGCAAGUCGAGCGAACUGAUUAGAAGCUUGCUUCUAUGACGUUAGCGGCGGACGGGUGAGUAACACGUGGGCAACCUGCCUGUAAGACUGGGAUAACUUCGGGAAACCGAAGCUAAUACCGGAUAGGAUCUUCUCCUUCAUGGGAGAUGAUUGAAAGAUGGUUUCGGCUAUCACUUACAGAUGGGCCCGCGGUGCAUUAGCUAGUUGGUGAGGUAACGGCUCACCAAGGCAACGAUGCAUAGCCGACCUGAGAGGGUGAUCGGCCACACUGGGACUGAGACACGGCCCAGACUCCUACGGGAGGCAGCAGUAGGGAAUCUUCCGCAAUGGACGAAAGUCUGACGGAGCAACGCCGCGUGAGUGAUGAAGGCUUUCGGGUCGUAAAACUCUGUUGUUAGGGAAGAACAAGUACGAGAGUAACUGCUCGUACCUUGACGGUACCUAACCAGAAAGCCACGGCUAACUACGUGCCAGCAGCCGCGGUAAUACGUAGGUGGCAAGCGUUAUCCGGAAUUAUUGGGCGUAAAGCGCGCGCAGGCGGUUUCUUAAGUCUGAUGUGAAAGCCCACGGCUCAACCGUGGAGGGUCAUUGGAAACUGGGGAACUUGAGUGCAGAAGAGAAAAGCGGAAUUCCACGUGUAGCGGUGAGAUGCGUA